This is a long non-coding RNA of Bubalus bubalis (water buffalo), 3837 nucleotides long. RefSeq lists it as uncharacterized. The record is from RefSeq and is a predicted model, not a curated record. The transcript is spliced from 2 exons. Lineage: Eukaryota; Metazoa; Chordata; Mammalia; Artiodactyla; Bovidae.
GUGAAGUCGCUCAGUCAUGCCCAACUCUUAGCGACCUCAUGGACUGCAGCCUACCAGGCUCCUCCGUCCAUGGGAUUUUCCAGGCAAGAGUACUGGAGUGGGGUGCCAUUGCCUUCUCCUUGGUUUUGGCUUUAGUUGGCUUUUUUUUCCGCCUUUUUUUUAAUUGGAAGGGGGGUGGGUGACCACUGAAGAGUCUUAUAAAGGUGGGUUUGGAACAUUAGAAGUUGAGAAGCUCUUUUGGGGAGACAAAGGUGACAGGAAAGCAGAAGAGAGAAAUAACUUGCAUCUGUUUUAUUUUUUUUAAUUAAUUUAUUUAUUUUUGUGCUGAAUCUUCAUUGCUGCACUGGAUUUUCUCUAGUUGCAGUGAGCGGGGGCUACUUUUCGUUGUUUGGUGCAAGGGCUUCUCAUUAUAGUGACUUCUCUUGUUGAAGAGCAAAGGCUCUAGGGUCCACGGGCUUCAGUAGUUGUAGCACGUGGGCUCAACAGUUGGGUUACUGGACCCACAGCACAGGCUCAGUAGCUGACACAUGGAUUUAGUUGCUCUGCGGCAUGUGGGAUCAUUCAGGAUCAGGGAUUGAACCUGUGUCUCCUGCAUUGGCAACCGGACUCUACCAUUGAGCCACCAGAGAAGCCCUGUUUUAUUUUUUAUUGCUCUAUUUCUUCUUUUUUUUUAAAGCCACCUCAAAUGUUGGGAAGAGAGAAAAUCUAAGUAAAUGAAAGUGAGGAAUGCUACAAAUUGUCUGCUUUUAUUUCUGUGAGCAAUUUCUUUACCUGUUUUUGCACAGUUAUGCCUUCCCUUUGCCAAUACUGUAACAUGUAAAGAGACCAAUCAUGGAGUCAAGUCAGGAAACGUGGUUCCUCCUAUUAGCAGCCUGACUCAGCUACUUUCAAGUUCUCUCUUCUGUAAAAUGAAGGGGUUAAAGAUUAUUUCACCCUUUUCUCCAGCCUCAUCUCCUGAGUGGCAGGCAAUCAGCCUUUUCGGUAUCUGUUGACAGUCCCUAUUUUCUUUUUAGGUGCCAUCACAGACUUUUCCUCCAUUCCUGGAAUUUCUAGGUACAGAAUGUAAGGAGGAUGAGACGAUAGCAAUGUAACUUGCUUAAAAUUUAUAUACUAGGUCAAGUCUUUAUGAAGAACUUUACACGUGCUACUUGGGCUGUUUCACAGCUAGUAAGGAACACUAGAAGGGACCUUAGAGAACAUCUAGUUUAAUCCCUUCACUUCAGUAGAUGGAAACAGGCCUAGAAAUAGGAUAUAAUGCUAGAGCGGGGCCCAGUUCUGUAGCUUCCCAAUGCCUAUUUGUUUACAUUAGAGGAAAUCGAAGCCCAGGGACUCCCAUGAAGAAUAGGGCCUAUCAAUCGAGGCAGGCUCUUUGAUCACCUAGAGUCCACUCCCUCUUUUAACAGCAGUUUAGAAGAGGUGCAGCCCCGGCCAGUUUUCUCGAAAUUUAUUGGAUCUGGAUCCAGACCUCCGGGCUUGCACUGUAGCAUGAAUGAAUGUGAUCGUAGUGGUUCUGCCUACAGAGGCACCUCUCCCUGCGUCAGGCCCGGGCGAUUACUCCGGGGGAGGAUUAGGUGUCCUGGUCUUUGAGGUCCCCUUCCCAGGCAGGCGUCUUCUAAGUCCCCGCGUAACCCCAGCUUGGGGUGCAGCCCAGUUGGGUUGGGGGCGUGGCCCGACAGCUGCGAACCAAUCCCAGGCCACCGUAGGUAGAGGCGGGAAGUCCGCUCCCCACCCCGCCCAUUUUCCUCUCAACUGCUGGAAUGCGGGGUGGUGACCUAGGCAACCGCCUUAGCUUGGCGCCCACCGGCCAAAUUCGCUUCGUCCCGCCCCUCUUGGAACAACCAAUCGGAAAACGAAGUCCUUUAAGGGCCAAAAGAAGAAAAAGGACGGCGAUUUUGAUUGGCUGAUUGGAAGAGUCAAGUACAAUCUCUGGCGUGACCCUACGGCUGAGGCUCCGGGAUCUCGCCCAAUUUGGAAAAGGUUGGAAUUUGGCCAUCAAGGGAUAGGAGCCCUAACCACUGGGCAACCAAGGAAUUCCCCACAAUGCCUUCUAAAGUUCUGCAUGAAGAAGCAUCCUGUUUACCAAAUUUUUACUGGACAGAGAAAAAGAAAGAGGUUCUUAGAGACCUUUUCUCUACAAGAAAGGCCUCCAAUGCCAGGAAUGGUCAGCCAGGCAACAUAACAAUGAUUAUAACACUGAAUUCUGGCUUUAUUGAGCGCUUACCUUUUUCUAAGCAGCAUUCGAAAUACUUUCUAUUCAUCAACUCAUUUAAGCCAACAACUAUACAAGGAACAAGGGAAAUACCUUUUUUUUUUUUUCUUUAAAGGUUUACUGAAGGGCCAACCAAAGAGAACAGGCAGCUUUUGCUUAAAAAACCUGAACUUGAAGAUACCAUUAUUAGCUCCAUUUUGCGGGUUUGGAAUCUAAGCUGAGAGAUGUUGGUUGGGGUGUGAAUCCAGGUUGUCUGGAUUCCAGAAUGUGAGCGCUUAAUGUCACUCUCUGAAAGCCAUGGUUUCAGACUGCCCUAGUAAUCACGUGGUUAAGAAUCUGCCUGCCAAGGCGGAGGACACGGGUUCCAUCCCUGAUCCCCCAUGCAGAGGAGCAACUAAGCCCAUACACUGCAACUACUGAAGCCCGUGAGCCCUAGAGCCUCUGUUCCACAAAAGAGAAGCCGCCAAGAUGAGAAGCCAGCACACCACAACUAGGGAGUCGUCCCUGCUCACUGCAACCAGAGAAAGCCUGAGUGCAGCAACAGAGACUCAGAACAGCCAAAAAUAAACAAAUACUUUUUUAAAGGUAUAGUUGUACAACAUAGUAAAUCAACUAUACUUCGAUAAAAAGUUAAAUAAAAAAUAAAAGGUGUAUUUCACAGUGAAGGGGCUUAAUUUCUUCUGUGUUAAAUAAAAACAAAGAUCCAUUCAAUAAAAUAUUUAGUAAUACAAGAACAAGAAAAACAAUUUUAUUGGAAAUAUUCUAACACGUUUUCUGAACAAAUAAUCAAAAAAUAAAUAAGGACAUAAAAAGAUAGGAACAUAUGAAAUUUUGACCUUGAAAACAAAUAGUGUACCUUCAUUUCAAGUUUCAUGGACAGUGACAAACUGCAAUAAAUAUUAAACUACAGAGAAUAUUUUGGUAAAUUUUGAAAAAUAGAAAUUCUAGAAGUCAGUCUCAGAUCAAAAUGCAGUACAACUAACAGUAAUAUAAAACACACCACUCAGAAACUGAAAACCAUAAAUAACAUCUCAAAUUACCCUUAGGACAAGAAGUAAAUCAAGGAUAAAAAGCAAACUAUUUGGGGAUAAUGAUAAUCAUAAUAAAAGGAUACAGUCAAAUCUACCUGCAGAGGCAAAAUUAAUAGCAUUCAAUGCUUUUAGUGUCAAAAAAAGAGAAAAAAACGAAUGAACUAAGCAUGCAAGUUGAGAUCUCUGAAAAGAGUAUAAAAUACUCCCCUACUCCCCAAAUGGGAAAUAUUUAAAAUAGAAAACAGAAAAAAAAAGAACGCCCAGAAGCCUAAGAGGAGGAGAGAUGUACCUUCUGGCCUGUGGACAGGGAAGCGCCUUGGUGCUCCACAUGAACUUGGUCCUCUGACCUGUGCCCUUGAACAUCCCCCUUCUCGCUCCACCUGACAUGCUCGUCCACUCCCAAGGCCUCAGCUCCCUUCUAGCCCCUUGUCUGUGUCAGCACCGCAGCUCCUAGCUUUGUGCCUCUCUGGUGGCAUCUACACGUGCCCUACAAUAAAGUCUCUCCACCUGAGACCCCCUUUCUAGCAGAUGUGAGACCUUCGGAACAGGAGCAUGUCCUCCUCAUGGUCAUAUCCUCAGGGCCUGGGAUAUGGUGGG